Molecule: long non-coding RNA, 802 nt
Filed under: Arachis ipaensis
Lineage: Eukaryota; Viridiplantae; Streptophyta; Magnoliopsida; Fabales; Fabaceae
Description: long non-coding RNA (AIPA_LNC001388)
Source: RNAcentral
GAUCCUAGACUUCGCUACUUAUUACUUUAAUUUGAUAUAAAGUAGUUAUUAAAAUGAAGGAAUGAACCAUAUAACUCAACAAUUUCAUAAUUCUUGAUUGGCAUGCUGGAAUUGUAUAUAGAAGAAAGAAUAACAUAACAAGCUUCAAUUUUAUUGAUGUUUUCCAUUCUUAUAUUUAUAUGACCUUUCACGUGGUAGAAGCUCCUCAAAUAUGAAUUAAAACCCAAUACCAAAAAAGGGUUGGUUUGGAACUUGGAAGAAGACAACAACUUAAAGCUAUGAAAACAAAAAAAAAAAAAAGAAAAGAAAAGAAAAGGGUGACAAGCUAAGUCCCUUAAAUUAACAAGUUUACAAGAUUAUGGAAAUUAACAUGAAAAGGUCAAUAAUAUAUAAUUCCUUAGGAAGAAAAAAAAAAUUCAAAAACCUUCUGAUCCCUCUUCUUGAUCGAUCCAAUCCAUCCAAGAAAGUGGGGUGUUCUUGAAUUUGUUGUCGACAAGAAUUGGUUGUUGUUGUUGUUGUUGUUGUUUGUUGUUGUUGUUAUGAUGAAGAAGGAGAGUAGUAGUAGAAGGGGUAGCCUUGACCAAGCUCCUAGGUUGUUGUUGUUGGUUGUGGUGAUCCUCAGCGUUGGCGGUGAUGUCGCCUCCGGUCGGGGUUUGGAGGGGAAGAACGGUGGGCUUGGCGACAGCCGGAGAUGAAGGCUUUGGGUAGAAGAGAUCGGUUGGGAAGAAGUUAUAUUGUUGAAGGCCAGCCAUAGAAACAGAGAAAAUAAAGUGUUGUUUAAUUUUGAGAGUAUCUAACUUUC